UACGGAGGGGGCUAGCGUUGUUCGGAAUUACUGGGCGUAAAGCGCACGUAGGCGGCUUUGUAAGUUAGAGGUGAAAGCCCGGGGCUCAACUCCGGAAUUGCCUUUAAGACUGCAUCGCUAGAAUUGUGGAGAGGAAGGUGGAAUUCCCGGUGUAGCGGUGAAAUACGUAGAGAUCGGGAGGAACAUCAGUGGCGAAGGCGGCCUUCUGGACCAGUACUGACGCUGAGGCACGAAAGCGUGGGGAGCAAACAGG
This 253-nucleotide ribosomal RNA is filed under the name uncultured bacterium. RNAcentral describes it as "partial 16S ribosomal RNA". It matches the Rfam family "Bacterial small subunit ribosomal RNA", at positions 524 to 776 of the family's 1533-position model. The record is from RNAcentral.